Molecule: non-coding RNA, 951 nt
Organism: Cinara cedri
Lineage: Eukaryota; Metazoa; Arthropoda; Insecta; Hemiptera; Aphididae
Source: the annotation of a GenBank genome assembly
AUAUGGAUGAUGAUACCCACAUGCGCGAGACAGAUAAACGUGACGCUGACAAAUGAAGGAAAACCCCGAGGCAAUGCUAAAACCGCGAGGGUGAAUUGAAAUGUCGUCAUCAAUUUUAUUUAUGUUUACAUAUAUGCGUCGCGUCGCGUGGUAGGUAUACCGCCGCCGUUCGAAGAAAGCGCCGCGGAAAACGGAUAAUAUUAUGGCGAAACCCGAGAGUAUAAUAAUAUUUUUGUACACUCGAAUAUAUAGGUGUACUCGUCUCCGAAAAACAUAACGUACCGAGUAACGACGACAAUAAUAACAGCAAUUAUGUGCUGCACUGGUACAACAGUGCAGCCAUACGCGGCCUGCUGUAUUUCACUUGCGCGGGUCCGGAAGAAACGUCGGGGUUACCUAAAACAGGAGGGUAUACUAGCAACGUAAACGACGUGUGUCCUGUAGUCGCUCGGGAUUCAAACCGGACCGAUCCCCGUGGUCUGUAUUCAACGCCCGGGGGUAGUGUAGAAUACGAUUUCAGUCAACGAUUAAUACUUUAACGAAGCUACUCUUUGUCCCUGGAUGACGCUGCGGGGCGGGCAUCACUCCGAACAUCAGCAAUGGCUUUAGUUUACGGUGUAGCCGGGUAUUUAUCGUGAAUCCGUUUAUUCCGAAAGUCUACACUUCGCGCGCAAGUCGGUACCCAACUGAAUAAUACGACGCGGAUCGCGAAAGAGACGGUGGUACCUACCCAAAAGGAACGGUUACCAAUCCUGGCCGAUGUGACACCCUCGGACCUUCGAAAGCGGGAGUCCGUCAAACGGAUAAUGGACAAAAUCAAACACGAUCCAAGUCCAGGUAUGUUUCGAAUUUAGUACAUCCGCCUACUGAAAUACAUGGACACCGUGUUAUGUACGUAUUGAUCGAGCGUCGUUUUAUAGCCGUUUUAAUUUUCGUUCAGAAUCUUGGAUC